UGUCAAGUAGAACUGAAAGCACCACAAAGAAAUAAAAUACCAGUUGAAUUGAUUGUUGAUACAGGAUCAAGUGUGUCCAUCCUGCCUGAGACAGUUCAUGAAACACUUCGCAAAUUGUGAACUGAAGGAACCUCAAGUGAGGCUAGUCACUUACUCACGUGAACACUUGCCAACCUUAGGCUGUUUCACUGUUUCUGUGUCACAUGAUGGUGUUGCAACCACUGCCAAUUUCUAUGUGGUCAAAACGGGAUCACCACUUUUGGGCAUGGACUUGAUUAAAGCCUUAAACUGUCACAUUGUGGGAGAUAGAAUUGUUACAUCAUCAGCUCCUGCUGUUUCACCUGUGUUAGAAAUAUGUAAUGCAGCAGCCAGCUCACUUGGAUGUUUCAAAGGCUUUGUGCACAAAGUACAGAUUGAUCAGUCAGUUAAACCAGUGCAGCACAAACUACGCAGAUUACCGCUGAGUGUACGGGAGGAGGUUUCCAAGGAAAUUCAUCGCUUACUGAGGGAUGGAAUAAUUGAAAAGUUCAAUGCUUCGCCAUGGGUGUCACCAAUCGUCGUAACCAGAAAGAAGUCUGGAGAAAUUUGGGUUUGCGUGGAUUUGAGAGAGCCUAAUCAGGCUGUAAUUACUGACUGCUACCCACUACCUCAUAUGGAGGAUCUUUUCACCGAGCUCAGAGGCGCUACUGUGUUCUCGCAAACUGAUUUGCAAAGUGCAUACCACCAACUACCUUUGCAUGAGGAGAGUCAAAACUUGACUGCAUUCAACACACACGAUGGAUUAUUCAAAUUCACAAAGGUUCCUUUCGGGUUGGCUUCGGCGCCCUCCGCCUUUCAAAAAAUAUGAUGAAAACAGUUCUUGAGGGUCUACCAGGAGUACAGAACUACUUAGAUGAUCUCAUUGUCUACGGCCAAGAUAAAGCUAACCAUGACACCAAUCUACAGGCAGUGCUGACUAAACUCACGAAUAUUGGUCUGAAACUUAACAUGGAGAAGAGCAAAUUCGGCCAGAGCAGAAUUCGAUAUCUAGGCCAUGACAUUUCAAAAGAUGGACUACAUCCCAACCGCGACUCAGUUGAUGCCAUUGAAAAUGCCCCUG
This 1099-nucleotide long non-coding RNA is filed under the name Sinocyclocheilus anshuiensis. Its description in RNAcentral is "lncRNA (ENSSANG00000026900.1)". The record is from RNAcentral. Lineage: Eukaryota; Metazoa; Chordata; Actinopteri; Cypriniformes; Cyprinidae.